Molecule: ribosomal RNA, 638 nt
Filed under: Flavobacterium sp. So2Pw_1405
Lineage: Bacteria; Pseudomonadati; Bacteroidota; Flavobacteriia; Flavobacteriales; Flavobacteriaceae
Description: bacterial SSU rRNA
Rfam family: Bacterial small subunit ribosomal RNA
Source: RNAcentral
GCAGCCUGAUCAGCCAUGCCGCGUGCAGGAUGACGGUCCUAUGGAUUGUAAACUGCUUUUGCACAGGAAGAAACAACGCUACGUGUAGCGUCUUGACGGUACUGUGAGAAUAAGGAUCGGCUAACUCCGUGCCAGCAGCCGCGGUAAUACGGAGGAUCCAAGCGUUAUCCGGAAUCAUUGGGUUUAAAGGGUCCGUAGGCGGUUUAGUAAGUCAGUGGUGAAAGCCCAUCGCUCAACGGUGGAACGGCCAUUGAUACUGCUAGACUUGAAUUAUUAGGAAGUAACUAGAAUAUGUAGUGUAGCGGUGAAAUGCUUAGAGAUUACAUGGAAUACCAAUUGCGAAGGCAGGUUACUACUAAUGGAUUGACGCUGAUGGACGAAAGCGUGGGUAGCGAACAGGAUUAGAUACCCUGGUAGUCCACGCCGUAAACGAUGGAUACUAGCUGUUGGGAGCGAUCUCAGUGGCUAAGCGAAAGUGAUAAGUAUCCCACCUGGGGAGUACGUUCGCAAGAAUGAAACUCAAAGGAAUUGACGGGGGCCCGCACAAGCGGUGGAGCAUGUGGUUUAAUUCGAUGAUACGCGAGGAACCUUACCAAGGCUUAAAUGUAGAUUGACCGGUUUGGAAACAGACUUUUCGC